This 254-nucleotide ribosomal RNA is filed under the name uncultured bacterium. RNAcentral's name for it is "partial 16S ribosomal RNA". It matches the Rfam family "Bacterial small subunit ribosomal RNA", at positions 524 to 776 of the family's 1533-position model. The record is from RNAcentral.
UACGGAGGGUGCAAGCGUUAAUCGGAAUUACUGGGCGUAAAGCGCACGCAGGUGGCUGAGUCAGUCGAUUGUGAAAGCCCUGGGCUUAACCUGGGAAUUGCGGUCGAUACUACUCAGCUAGAGUAUGGGAGAGGGCAGUGAAAUUCCCGGUGUAGCGGUGAAAUGCGCAGAUAUCAGGAGGAACACCGAUGGCGAAGGCAGGUCUCUGGGCCACUACUGACGCUGAGAAGCGAAAGCAUGGGGGAGCGAACAGG